Molecule: ribosomal RNA, 497 nt
Filed under: uncultured bacterium
Lineage: Bacteria
Description: partial 16S ribosomal RNA
Rfam family: Bacterial small subunit ribosomal RNA
Source: RNAcentral
GAUGAACGCUGGCGGCGUGCCUAAUACAUGCAAGUCGAGCGGACAGACGAGGAGCUUGCGCCGCGGACGUUAGGCGAGGGCGGGUGAGUAACACGUGUAUAACCUACCUAUAAGACGGGGAUAACCACGGGAAACCGGAGCUAAUAGCGGAGAAUAUAUUGAACCACGGGGGUGAAUGGUGAGAUACGGUGGUGGGGGCAGGUAUAGAUGGAUCUGAGCCGGUUGGGCUAGUUGUUAAGGUAACGGCUUACCAAGGCGACGAUGCGUAGCCGACCUGAGAGGGUGAUCGGCCACACUGGAACGGAGCCACGGUCCAGACUCCUACGGGAGGCAGCAGUAGGGAAUCUUCCGCAAUGGGCGAAAGCCUGACGGAGCAACGCCGCGUGAGUGAUGAAGGUCUUCGGAUCGUAAAACUCUGUUAUUAGGGAAGAACCAAUGUGUAAGUAACUAUGCACGUAUUGACGGUACCGAAUCAGAAAGCCACGGCUAACUACGUG